This 1061-nucleotide ribosomal RNA is filed under the name human gut metagenome. Its description in RNAcentral is "bacterial SSU rRNA". It matches the Rfam family "Bacterial small subunit ribosomal RNA", at positions 418 to 1489 of the family's 1533-position model. The record is from RNAcentral.
UGGGGGUGUAAACCUUUUUUUCGGGGGACAAGGGAGAAUGGAGUUACCCGUUGAUUAAGCCCCGGCUAUUACGGUGCCAGCAGCCGCGGUAAUACGUAGGGUGCAAGCGUAUCCCGAAUUAUNGGGCGUAAAGGGCUCGUAGGCGGUUCGUCGCGUCCGUGUGAAAGUCCAUCGCUUANCGGUGGAUCCGCGCCGGGUACGGGCGGGCUGGAGUGCGUAGGGAGANNCUGGAAUUCCCGGUGUAACGGUGGAAUGUGUAGAUAUCGGAAAGACACCAAAUGGCGAAGGCAGGUCUCUGGGCCGUUACUGACGCUGAGGAGCGAAAGCGUGGGGAGCGACCAGGAUUAGAUACCCUGGUAGUCCACGCCGUAAACGGUGGAUGCUGGAUGUGGGGCCCGUUCCACGGGUUCCGUGUCGGAGCUAACGCGUUAAGCAUCCCGCCUGGGGAGUACGGCCGCAAGGCUAAAACUCAAAGAAAUUGACGGGGGCCCGCACAAGCGGCGGAGCAUGCGGAUUAAUUCGAUGCAACGCGAAGAACCUUACCUGGGCUUGACAUGUUCCCGACCGCUCCAGAGAUGGGGCUUCCCUUCGGGGCGGGUUCACAGGUGGUGCAUGGUCGUCGUCAGCUCGUGUCGUGAGAUGUUGGGUUAAGUCCCGCAACGAGCGCAACCCUCGCCCCGUGUUGCCAGCGGAUUAUGCCGGGAACUCACGGGGGACCGCCGGGGUUAACUCGGAGGAAGGUGGGGAUGACGUCAGAUCAUCAUGCCCCUUACGUCCAGGGCUUCACGCAUGCUACAAUGGCCGGUACAACGGGAUGCGACGCGGCGACGCGGAGCGGAUCCCUGAAAACCGGUCUCAGUUCGGAUCGCAGUCUGCAACUCGACUGCGUGAAGGCGGAGUCGCUAGUAAUCGCGAAUCAGCAACGUCGCGGUGAAUGCGUUCCCGGGCCUUGUACACACCGCCCGUCAAGUCAUGAAAGUGGGCAGCACCCGAAGCCGGUGGCCUAACCCCUUGUGGGAUGGAGCCGUCUAAGGUGAGGCUCGUGAUUGGGACUAAGUCGU